UAAUACCAGCAGCUCAAGUGGUGAUCCUUAUUAUUGGGCCUAAAGCGUCCGUAGCCUGCUCAGUAAAUCCUUGGGUAAAUCGGGCAGCUUAACUGUCCGACUUCCGGGGAGACUGCUGAGCUUGGGACUGGGAGAGGUCGGAGGUACUCCGGGGGUAGAGGUGAAAUUCUGUAAUCCUUGGGGGACCACCAGUGGCGAAGGCGUCCGACUUGAACGGGUCCGACGGUGAGGGACGAAGCCCUGGGGCACAAACCGGAUUAGAUACCCGGGUAGUCCAGGGUGUAAACGCUGCGGGCUUGGUGUUGGGGGUCCUACGUGGGCGUCCAGUGCCGGAGAGAAGUUGUUAAGCCCGCCGCCUGGGGAGUACGGUCGCAAGACUG
RNAcentral lists this ribosomal RNA (380 nucleotides) under uncultured Thermoplasmata archaeon. RNAcentral describes it as "bacterial SSU rRNA". It matches the Rfam family "Archaeal small subunit ribosomal RNA", at positions 471 to 851 of the family's 1478-position model. The record is from RNAcentral. Lineage: Archaea; Methanobacteriati; Thermoplasmatota; Thermoplasmata.